This 449-nucleotide ribosomal RNA is filed under the name uncultured bacterium. Its description in RNAcentral is "partial 16S ribosomal RNA". It matches the Rfam family "Bacterial small subunit ribosomal RNA", at positions 329 to 793 of the family's 1533-position model. The record is from RNAcentral.
UUCCAGACUCCUACGGGAGGCAGCAGUGGGGAAUAUUGGGCAAUGGGCGCAAGCCUGACCCAGCAACGCCGCGUGAAGGAAGAAGGCUUUCGGGUUGUAAACUUCUUUUAAGAGGGAAGAGCAGAAGACGGUACCUCUUGAAUAAGCCACGGCUAACUACGUGCCAGCAGCCGCGGUAAUACGUAGGUGGCAAGCGUUGUCCGGAUUUACUGGGUGUAAAGGGCGUGCAGCCGGGCUUACAAGUCAGAUGUGAAAUCCUGCGGCUCAACCGCAGAACUGCAUUUGAAACUGUAGGUCUUGAGUACUGGAGAGGCAGACGGAAUUCCUAGUGUAGCGGUGAAAUGCGUAGAUAUUAGGUGGAACACCAGUGGCGAAGGCGGUCUGCUGGACAGCAACUGACGGUGAGGCGCGAAAGCGUGGGGAGCAAACAGGAUUAGAUACCCUCGUAU